RNAcentral lists this ribosomal RNA (1149 nucleotides) under Escherichia coli. Its description in RNAcentral is "partial 23S ribosomal RNA". It matches the Rfam family "Bacterial large subunit ribosomal RNA", at positions 1 to 1191 of the family's 2925-position model. The record is from RNAcentral. Lineage: Bacteria; Pseudomonadati; Pseudomonadota; Gammaproteobacteria; Enterobacterales; Enterobacteriaceae.
GGUUAAGCGACUAAGCGUACACGGUGGAUGCCCUGGCAGUCAGAGGCGAUGAAGGACGUGCUAAUCUGCGAUAAGCGUCGGUAAGGUGAUAUGAACCGUUAUAACCGGCGAUUUCCGAAUGGGGAAACCCAGUGUGUUUCGACACACUAUCAUUAACUGAAUCCAUAGGUUAAUGAGGCGAACCGGGGGAACUGAAACAUCUAAGUACCCCGAGGAAAAGAAAUCAACCGAGAUUCCCCCAGUAGCGGCGAGCGAACGGGGAGCAGCCCAGAGCCUGAAUCAGUGUGUGUGUUAGUGGAAGCGUCUGGAAAGGCGCGCGAUACAGGGUGACAGCCCCGUACACAAAAAUACACAUACUGUGAGCUCGAUGAGUAGGGCGGGACACGUGGUAUCCUGUCUGAAUAUGGGGGGACCAUCCUCCAAGGCUAAAUACUCCUGACUGACCGAUAGUGAACCAGUACCGUGAGGGAAAGGCGAAAAGAACCCCGGCGAGGGGAGUGAAAAAGAACCUGAAACCGUGUACGUACAAGCAGUGGGAGCACGCUUAGGCGUGUGACUGCGUACCUUUUGUAUAAUGGGUCAGCGACUUAUAUUCUGUAGCAAGGUUAACCGAAUAGGGGAGCCGAAGGGAAACCGAGUCUUAACUGGGCGUUAAGUUGCAGGGUAUAGACCCGAAACCCGGUGAUCUAGCCAUGGGCAGGUUGAAGGUUGGGUAACACUAACUGGAGGACCGAACCGACUAAUGUUGAAAAAUUAGCGGAUGACUUGUGGCUGGGGGUGAAAGGCCAAUCAAACCGGGAGAUAGCUGGUUCUCCCCGAAAGCUAUUUAGGUAGCGCCUCGUGAAUUCAUCUCCGGGGGUAGAGCACUGUUUCGGCAAGGGGGUCAUCCCGACUUACCAACCCGAUGCAAACUGCGAAUACCGGAGAAUGUUAUCACGGGAGACACACGGCGGGUGCUAACGUCCGUCGUGAAGAGGGAAACAACCCAGACCGCCAGCUAAGGUCCCAAAGUCAUGGUUAAGUGGGAAACGAUGUGGGAAGGCCCAGACAGCCAGGAUGUUGGCUUAGAAGCAGCCAUCAUUUAAAGAAAGCGUAAUAGCUCACUGGUCGAGUCGGCCUGCGCGGAAGAUGUAACGGGGCUAAACCAUG